GACGAACGCUGGCGGCGUGCUUAACACAUGCAAGUCGAACGGAAAGGCCCUGCUUUUGUGGGGUGCUCGAGUGGCGAACGGGUGAGUAACACGUGAGUAACCUGCCCUUGACUUUGGGAUAACUUCAGGAAACUGGGGCUACUACCGGAUAGGAGCUCCUGCUGCAUGGAGGGGGUUGGAAAGUUUCGGCGGUCGGGGAUGGACUCGCGGCUUAUCAGCUUGUUGGUGGGGUAGUGGCUUACCAAGGCUUUGACGGGUAGCCGGCCUGAGAGGGUGACCGGCGACCUUGGGACUGAGAGACGGCCCAGACUCCUACGGGAGGCAGCAGUGGGGAAUAUUGCACAAUGGGCGCAAGCCUGAUGCAGCAACGCCGCGUGCGGGAUGACGGCCUUCGGGUUGUAAACCGCUUUCGCCUGUGACGAAGCGGGAGUGACGGUAAUGGGUAAAGAAGCACCGGCUAACUACGUG
RNAcentral lists this ribosomal RNA (468 nucleotides) under uncultured bacterium. RNAcentral describes it as "partial 16S ribosomal RNA". It matches the Rfam family "Bacterial small subunit ribosomal RNA", at positions 28 to 507 of the family's 1533-position model. The record is from RNAcentral.